This 468-nucleotide ribosomal RNA is filed under the name uncultured bacterium. RNAcentral's name for it is "partial 16S ribosomal RNA". It matches the Rfam family "Bacterial small subunit ribosomal RNA", at positions 28 to 507 of the family's 1533-position model. The record is from RNAcentral.
GACGAACGCUGGCGGCGUGCUUAACACAUGCAAGUCGAACGGAAAGGCCCUGCUUUUUUCUGGUGCUCGAGUUGCUAACGUGUGAGUAACACAUGAGUAACCUGCCCUUGACUUUGGGAUGACUUCAGGAAACUGGGGAUAAUACCUAAUACGUGCUCCUGCAUCUUGGUAUGGUUUGGAAAUUUUCGGCGGGUGGGAGUGGACUCGCGGCUUAUCAGCUUGUUGGUGGGGUAGUGGCUUACCCAGGCUUUGACGGGUAGCCGGCAUGAGAGGGUGAACGGGCACAUUGGGCCUGAGGGAGGGACCAGAGGGAAACGGGCGGCAGUGGUGGAGAACAUUGCACAAUGGGCCGAAGCGUGAUGCAGCGACGUCGGGUUCGGGAUGACGGUUAAGGGGUUGGAAAGGGCUUUAGGCUAAGACGAAGCGGGAGUGACGGUAAUGGGUAAAGAAGCAACGGCUAACUACGUG